CCUACGGGCGGCAGCAGUCGAGAAUUAUUCACAAUGGGGGAAACCCUGAUGGUGCGACGCCGCGUGGGGGAAUGAAGGUCUUCGGAUUGUAAACCCCUGUCAUGUGGGAGCAAAUUAAAAAGAUAGUACCACAAGAGGAAGAGACGGCUAACUCUGUGCCAGCAGCCGCGGUAAUACAGAGGUCUCAAGCGUUGUUCGGAAUCACUGGGCGUAAAGCGUGCGUAGGCUGUUUCGUAAGUCGUGUGUGAAAGGUGCGGGCUCAACCAGCGGACGGCACAUGAUACUGCGAGACUAGAGUAAUGGAGGGGGAGCCGGAAUGCUUGGUGUAGCAGUGAAAUGCGUAGAUAUCGAGAGGAACACUCGUGGCGAAGGCAGGUUCCUGGACAUUAACUGACGCUGAGGCACGAAGGCCAGGGGAGCGAAAGGGAUUAGAUACCCGUGUAGUC
Molecule: ribosomal RNA, 446 nt
Filed under: uncultured bacterium
Lineage: Bacteria
Description: partial 16S ribosomal RNA
Rfam family: Bacterial small subunit ribosomal RNA
Source: RNAcentral